AAAUUCUUCAUCUGUAUUUAAAUUUAAAUUAUAUUCUAUAUAUUUUUAAUAAUAGUGUUCAACUGUUCAUACAAAUGUUUUCAUUAUUCAUAAAAAUCAAUUUUCCAUUACGUUAAUCGGUUAAUUAUCUUGAUUUUUUAUGUUAAUCGGUUUUAAAUUUUUAUGUCAUCUAUAUUUAGAGACAGAAUUAAAAUCAUAGUCAAGUAUCAAAUUUUGAAAACUUAAACAAUUAAAAUUCAAUAGCUAAAAUUGAAAUAAAUUAAAAUAGUUUGAAUUUUUUUUUCCUUUUAAUUAUAUUAUUGGAAUUUAAAUUCAUCUUUUUUAUUUUAUAUAAACUUGUUACUUUAGUAAUUGAGUAUUAAAGGUUUAGUGUUUAUGUGUAUGGUUUAGGUUUUAGGAUUUUGGGGUCUGAAUUUAUAGUUUAUAGUUUUUGAUUUUAUGGUUUAGUGUUUAGGGUUUUGGGUUUAAUGAUUUAUUGUUUUUGGGUUUUAAUCAUAUGGUUUUUGAUUUUGGAGUUUGAUUUUAUGUUUUAUCAUUUAUUAUUUAUAGGGUUAUAGAUCCGAAUUUUGGUUUGGGAUUUUUAUAUUUAGGGUUUAGAAUUGUAGUUUUUGCAUUUUCAAGUUAAGGGUUAUAAGCAUUAGGCUUUAGGAUUUAUGUUUUAGUGUUUAGAUUUAGAGUUUAAAAUUUAGAAUUUAGUGUUUAGAAUUUUUGUUUUGGUUUUAGAAUCUAUGGAUUAAGGUUUAGAUUUUAUGUACUGUGCUUAGGAUUUAGAACGUUUAGAGUUUAGGAUUUAGUGUUUAAAAUUUUUUUUGUUUUUGUCUUAGGGUCUAUAAAUUAGGGUUUAGAUUUUAUACUCAAGGUUUAGUGUCUAGAGUUUAAUGUUUAGAGUUUAUUUGGAAUUUAGGAUUAGUUUUUAUUGGUGAGGAUGUGAGGUUUUGCUUUCUCAUAGUUAUAAUUUAGUGUUUAAAAUUUAUAGCUUAUUGUUUAUAAUUUAGGAUUUAUGAUCUACAAAUUUAUA
Arachis ipaensis is the source of this 1018-nucleotide non-coding RNA. The record is from RefSeq and is a predicted model, not a curated record. Lineage: Eukaryota; Viridiplantae; Streptophyta; Magnoliopsida; Fabales; Fabaceae.